Molecule: ribosomal RNA, 462 nt
Filed under: uncultured Methanomicrobiales archaeon
Lineage: Archaea; Methanobacteriati; Methanobacteriota; Methanomicrobia; Methanomicrobiales
Description: bacterial SSU rRNA
Rfam family: Archaeal small subunit ribosomal RNA
Source: RNAcentral
CACCACAGCAGGUGGAGCCUGCGGUUUAAUCGGACUCAACGCCGGGAAACUCACCAGAUAAGACAGCUGAAUGAUAGUCGGGCUGAAGACUCUACUUGACUAGCUGAGAGGAGGUGCAUGGCCGUCGUCAGUUCGUACUGUGAAGCAUCCUGUUAAGUCAGGCAACGAGCGAGACCCACGCCAACAGUUGCCAGCUCGUCCUCCGGGAUGGUGGGGACACUGUUGGGACCGCCUCUGCUAAAGAGGAGGAAGGAAUGGGCAACGGUAGGUCAGCAUGCCCCGAAUUAUCUGGGCUACACGCGGGCUACAAUGGGUGGGACAAUGGGUAUCGACACCGAAAGGUGAAGGCAAUCUCCUAAACCCAUCCGUAGUUCGGAUUGUGGGCUGCAACUCGCCCACAUGAAGCUGGAAUCUGUAGUAAUCGUGUCUCAAAAUGGCACGGUGAAUAUGUCCCUGCUCCUU